UACAUGUGGGGCAAGCGUUGUUCGGAAUUACUGGGCAUAAAGGGUGCGUAGGCGGCUUGUUAAGUCAGGGGUGAAAUCCCACGGCCCAACCGUGGAACUGCCUUUGAUACUGGCGAGCUUGAGUGCGUGAGGGGUAACCGGAACGAGUAGUGUAGCGGUGAAAUGCGUAGAUAUCGUAAGGAAGACCAGUGGCGAAGGCGGGUCUCUGGACAGUUCCUGACGCUGAGGCACGAAGGUCAGGGGAGCAAACGGG
This 253-nucleotide ribosomal RNA is filed under the name uncultured bacterium. RNAcentral's name for it is "partial 16S ribosomal RNA". It matches the Rfam family "Bacterial small subunit ribosomal RNA", at positions 524 to 776 of the family's 1533-position model. The record is from RNAcentral.